Fukomys damarensis (Damara mole-rat) is the source of this 99-nucleotide small nuclear RNA. The record is from Ensembl. NCBI's taxonomy places the organism in Eukaryota, Metazoa, Chordata, Mammalia, Rodentia, Bathyergidae.
GUGCCUACUUCAGCAGCACAUAUACUAAAGUUGGAAUAAUACAGAGAAGAUUAGCAUGGCCAGGGUGACACCCAAAUUUGUGAAGUGUGCCAUAGUUUG